This 31014-nucleotide long non-coding RNA is filed under the name Gossypium barbadense (sea-island cotton). RNAcentral's name for it is "long non-coding RNA (GBAR_LNC010994)". The record is from RNAcentral. Lineage: Eukaryota; Viridiplantae; Streptophyta; Magnoliopsida; Malvales; Malvaceae.
UCACCUUUACUAAUUUAAAAUUUUAAAUAUUAAAAAAAGUCUAAAAAUGUAAAUUUUAAGGAGAUUAUAUGGUCGGAUGAAUUUUGAGAAUUAAAAUUGGAUAGAGAUUAUGUUAAUAUAUAAUUAGAUGUUUUUUUUUUACAUAUAAUGUAAUGUAAAUUAUAUUAUAUUAUUUUAAAUGAAAUUUUUUCAAUUUGUUAUUUGUAAAAUGUAAAUUAAAAUAGUAAUCUAAUUGUAAUGUCAAUAAAACCUUUUAAACUAGGCAGGUUCUUAGAGUUUAUAAAUUUUAACAAUUUGACCCUUAUUUUUUUUCUUUUCAACAAUUUAACCCUCAAAAUUUUAUUUUGAGUCAAAUUAUGAUUUUUUUAUAGCAAAUGUCCAUUAAACCAAUAAUUUAAUGAUAUUAACGUGAGAUGAAUAAUGAAUUCAUUUUAAUUCAACAUUAAACUUUUCAAGUAUCAUCUCAUUUGGACCAUCUUUUCCUCUAACUUGAAUAGAGGAUAGAUUGAAGGAAAUUCCAUUUGAUUGGUGCGCAAUUUUCCUCUGACUUGAUUAGAAUGAUAUUAUCAAAUGUUCUGACUUGAUUAGAAUGAAAUUAUGAAAUGUUCACUCUCGUAACCAUUUUUUGGAAAAACGGGAAUCGACUUAGAUUUUAAAAAAUGAAAACGAAAAACGGGAGUCGCCACCAAUCUUUUUUGAUGAGGUGUGAUCGGAUCAUCUUAAAUUAAUCAUUUUAAUAAAAGUCAAGAUUUACUAAAACGAUAAUUUUGGGUCUACGAAAAAUCAGAAAACGAGUUUGGGAGUCGGUUACGCACGAGGAAGGAUUAGCACCCUCGAUACGCCCAAAAUUGGUACCUAGUUGAUUAAUUAAUGUCUUAGUGUCGAAGAUUUGAAAACUUGAAAGAAUUUAAAAUACGAUCCCUCUUUAUAUUAACGCUAAAAAUGAUUAAAUAAAUUAAAACGGAUGUUAAGGACUCUCUCAUCUCGAAGUAAUAAAAUAUCAUGCCCAGUAAGUUAGAACACGACACCUCAAACUUUGAGACUGAGCUUGCCUUUUAUUUAAAAUUAAUGUAUUUUAACUCCUUUUAAAAAGGAUAUUCGGUUAAUGAGGGUGAACGAGGAAAAUUGAAACCCAGUAAGUUAGGGCACGUUUCCUCGAAUUCCCGAACACCGAAUAUUGCCUUUAUUUGCUAAAAAUCUUAUUUCGAGGUAACAGAAUGUCAUACCCGGUAAGUUAGGGCACCACACCUCGUAUCUCCGAAAAAAAGCAUUUUUAAAACUCGUAUUGUGGUUUAAAAGAAUAUUCUGUUAUUUUGGUUAAACGAGAAAAAUCGAAACCCAGUAAGUUAGGGCACGAUUUUCUCGAAAUUCCAAAUACGGAGUAUUGCCUUUAUAAAAGAAGUAAUUUUGGUUGGAUAAAACAAAAAUUCGUAAUAAAACGAGAUAAUAGAGAAUGCAUGAGCAAAUAAAAAAUUUUAGUAUUGAUGGGCAUAACAUAAACACGAAUGUGAACGAUAGCAAUGAUUAGAGCACAAAUAAAUGAAUAAAAAGAAUAAAAAGAAAAUAACGAACAAGCUAGGAAAUAUUCGAAAUUAGAAAGAACUAGUAAUAAAUAAACAAUCAUUAUGUAAAACCAACGAGUGAUAGUAUAGUAAUGAUGAUAACAAUAUUAAUAAUAGUAAUAAUACAAAUAAUAAUUUUGGAAUGAUGUAUGAAAGUGUAUAUAUGUAUGUGUAUAUAUAAAUAAGUAAAUAAUAUAUAAAGUGAGUGAAGAAUAAAAAAUAAAAUAAGUGUAUUUAAAGAGUAAUGGAUAAAAAUAUAAUAAUAAUACAAUGGCAGUAAUAAUGAUAAUAAUAAAGUCUUAGAAAUCUUAAGAUGCUUAAACUUUUGAAUUUAAGAGACUGCAAAAGUCUUAGAAAUCUUCCAACCAGAAUUGGAAUGGAAUCUCUUGAAACAUUAAUUCUUUCGGGUUGCUCAAGUCUUGUAAGGUUUCCGGAGAUUGAUGGGAGGAUGGAACAUCUAAAAACUCUUGACCUUUCUAGUUGUUAUAAAAUUAAGUAUUUGCCAGUGAAUUCGCAACAAGUAGAGUUUUUGGAAGAGCUUGACUUGAGUGAAACAAGCAUAACAGAGCCACCAUCCUUCCUUUCUCAAUUGAAACAUCUUGAAAGGCUAUCUUUCAAGGGGUGCAAGGGACCAUCAUAUAAGUCACGACCAAAUUUGCCUUCUCUUUUCAAGGUAAUCCAAGGAAGAAGGACGAAUCCCAUGGCUCGGAUGUUGCCUUGGUUGUCAGUUUUGAGUUCAUUAAGAAUCCUAAAACUAAGGGACUGCAAUCUUUGUGAAGGAGAUAUUCCACUUGAUUUUUCUGGUCUAUCCUGUUUGAUGAAUCUUGAUCUUAGUGGUAACAAUUUCAUCAGCAUACCUGCAUCUCUUACUCGACUCUCAAAGCUUGAGUUCCUUCGCUUCUCAAAUUGCAACAUGUGCAGUCUUGGGGAAGCAGAUAUUCACGGUCUAUCCUCUUUGAUAUCGCUUGAUCUUAGUGGUAACAAUUUCAUCACCAUCCCUUUGGCUCUUACUCAACUUAGCAGGCUUGUAUCGCUUUGCUUAUCAAAUUGCAAGAUGCUUAAAUUCUUGCCUGAGCUUCUAACAACUAUACGAUAUGUGAGUAUAGAUGGUUGUGCUUCACUUGAAGUAGCUGCAAGUCCAUCAAAAGUAUGCAACUUAGUGGAUGAGGCUCACGUUUAUGCCAUUAACUGCUUCAAAUUGGCUGAGAAUAUCAAUGCAUUAACACUGCUGAGAAAACAUCUUAAGGUCGACUAAUCUCUAUUUUCUCCCUUACAAAAUCUCAUACUUGAGAAUUUAUGGUUUUAGUUACCAAACGACUUGUGUUUUAUUUUGCAGGCUUGUGCAAAUUCAAGAAAAGAGUUUGCUAUUUUUAUGCCCGGAAGUGACAUCCCAGAAUGGUUUAGCCAACAAAAAAGUGACUCUUCAAUUAAGAUACCCCUUCCGAAAGAUAGUCAAUGGAUUGGAGUUGCUUCUUGCUGCAUUUUUAUCAACAAUGAUUCUUCAAGAGAUGACGAGAGUAUCAGCAGUUGUGCAUAUAUCAAUUUCAGAAAUUCUGAACAAGCCAGCCGUGAUGGAUCUAUUUUUCGAGGUAGAAAUCGUAGAAUGAUUAGUGGGACGACAGGCUGGGUGGUGAGGCCCUUAAUGAAAGAUCACCUUUUUCUUCAUUAUUGGUCGCGUGAUAAACUAUAUCCAAUUUACAUGGAGUAUAAAUAUGGUCAUUGUGAAACCAAUAAUUUACGGGCAACAGAUUGCUUAGAUCAUAAAUGCGAUGAGCUUGAGCUGUCUUUCUCAGACCUAGAUGUUGAAGACAAUGCUAAGGUGAAGAAGUGUGGUGUUAGAAUAGUGUAUGAGGAAGAUUUGGAAGAAAUAAAAGAGUUGCAGUGCCAUACCACUCCAUCUUCUCACAUCCACCAACACUCUGCUCACAACCAUGGAUCAGUAGAUAGCGCUUCUCACAUAAAACGAAAAGCUAGUAACGCAGCGGAGGAAGAAGGGCCGCAACCAAAACGGAUGCAGAAAAUUUUCAAUUUUAUAAUGGGCCAAUCGGGGGAGAAGCAUUAAGUGUGGUACACUACUUAACCAACCUCCUGUUGAUUUGUUUUUCUAUAAAUCUAUCUUGUUUGUAUUUUUUAUUCCAUUUAAAGUAAUCAUUCUAAAUUUAUUUACAAAAGAGAUAUGAUCCUUUCAUUAUAUAUCAAAAAGUUUUAAAUUUUUUAUUCAUACUCACAUUAAGCAUGAGCUCAUAUUGCGAAUAUUGAUAAUAUAGGUUUUUAUACUAUUUAAAAUUUUAAUUACUUAUAAUUAAAAUGUGUACAUUUAUAUUAGUUUCAUUCUUUUAUUAAAUUUUUAUUUUCAUUAUAUAUAUAUAUAUUCACUUACAUCUAUAUUUUAUUUCUAAGUUGAAGUAAAUAUAAUCAAUUUGAGACACAAAUGUGGAGAAAAAAAAAUAUCAUCCAUGACAAAGCACGUAAUAAAAAUGUGAAAAUCCUCUAAUGAGGAUUAGAUCAUAAUUUCACUUGAGUUAAAAACCAACAUUUUUAUUUGAGAUCAAUUUAUGUGUUCAAUUUAAUCAGUUAAAAUUAUUUUUAUAUAUUUGAAAGAUUAAAUAUAAGUCCUUAAUAGUACUUAAAUAGGUUUAAUUCCUAGUAAUAAAAGUAGCAUUUAAAUUUCAUGGCUUGAAGUACUAAUAAUAUUAUUCCAACUGUUCAAUUUAUAUUUUUUACAAAGUAUUUAUGUUUAAACAUUUAUUUUUAACACUUAUUCAAAUAUGAAUAUAAAGUAUACUCUUUUAAUUAAUUGGAAAAUCUUUUCUGUGUGAGAAACAUGUUCAUAUCCAAUAUAUUUUUCAAAAUUCAAUAGAUUCAUUUUUGUUCUUGUUUAAUGUGAGAUGAUUGUAUUUUAUGUGAUAUUAACAAAAAUUUCUCGAUUAGAAGUAAAUUAAUAUACCAGGAAUAUAGAUUAUCUCAAUAGUGAUAUAGAUUAUCUCAAUGCAACAAAAAUAUUCUUGGUGUUUUAUGUUUAUCCCUUAGACAGAUAAAAACAUGAAAGUCUGCUCAAAGGAUCGUGCAAGUGAAGGAUCAGCAAAGGUUAUCAAGUUGAAAUGGAAGCAAACACUUAACACAAUUAUAGGCUCGGAUAAAUUUUUGGGGAGUGAAAAUUAAAUUAUAAUUUUUAUAAUAGUAAAAAUAUAAUUUAACUAUUUUAAUAGCUUAUAUCUUUAUAAAUUUUAAAUAAUUGAAUCAAACUUUUAUCAAUUUUAGAAAAAUUAAAAUGUAAUUUUACAUUUAAAAAUUGAAAAAGUUUAAAAAUGUAAAUUUUAGGGAGAUUAUAUGCUCGGAUGAAUUUUGAGAAGUAAAAUUUGAUAUAGAUUAUGUUAAUAUAUAAUUAGUUGUUUUUUUUUUUUUACAUAUAAUGUAAUGUAAAUUAUAUUAUAUUAUUUUAAAUGAUUUUUUUUCAAUUUGUUAUUUGCAAAAUGUAAAUUCAAAUAGUAAUCUAAUAAUGAUGUCAAUAAAACCUUUUAAACUAGGCAGGUUCUUAGAGUUUAUAAAUUUUAACAAUUUGACCCUUAAUUUUUUCUUUUCAACAAUUUAACCCUCAACAUUUUAUUUUGAGUCAAAUUAUGGAUUUUUUAUCGCAAAUGUUGAUUAAACCGAUAAUUUAAUGAUAUUAACGUGACAUGAAUAAUGAAUUCGUUUUAAUUCAACAUUAAACUUUUCAAGUAUCAUCUCAUUUGGACCAUCUUUUCCUCUAACUUAAAUAGAUAGAUUGAAGAAAAUUCCAUUUGAUUGGUGCGCAAUUUUCCUCACUUUAUAAUUGGUGCACAAUUAUGAUUAGAAUGAAAUUAUCAAAUGUUCACCUCUAUUUUACAGCGAGAAUGUUAUAACCUUACAAACAAAAUUCUGAAAUAAAUGUUCUUAAAGACAAAUUGCACGAAAUAACUAAAUCUCAAGUUUUAUUCUGAAUUAGAUUUGUCCAUUUAAUACAUAAUAAUUGAAUUUAUCACUAAAUCCCUCCCUCACUAGGAAUGCAUAAAAGUCUAUUCAAAUCAAUUUAUCUGACCCAAACUGAUGUAAUUCCUUUAUAUACAUAUCUAGAUAUGUAUCAAACAUAAGUGUUAAAUAUAGGUACUUAGAGAAAAUGAAUGGGUUCGUGUAAUAUAGGCUAUGAUAUAACCAACAUCCAUGUAAAAUCGAGAAAGAUAUGAAUAAGACGAUCUUCUAACUCCCUACCCCAGGCCCUAAUAUAGGUUAGGGUAAUACACUAAAAACAUAGAUCACCACUACUCCCCACCGUAAACAUUCUAAAAUCACAUGCAAAAUUCUGUCGAGCUCGUUUUAGCAUCUAAAAAGAAAAAAUAAUAAUAAUAAAAUAGAUGCCUAAACAAAGUCCGAAUACGGGGUGGUGAGAUACAAGAGAUGGGAAAUCAAUCAUACCAUACAAGAUUUAGUCCUCAUCCAUUCCUGCAGGUUGAUCUCUCCUCGCUGGACCUCCAGCUGGUUUCGCCAUGAUAAUCUGCAAACAUUGAAUCAACGGCAUUACUGAGCUUAGUGGAAGAAAAUGUUUGGAAAAUGAAAUACAUAUGCAAUCCUAAGUAACAAAUACAGCUUUGCAUGAGAACCUAAUCCCAUCAGCAAACUAUUUUAAGUGCGAUUUUCAUUUUCAAGCUUUCUGUCUCUAGUAAAUUACCUGAUCUACACGCAACACAGUGCAGGCAGCCUCUGCAGCAUAUUUGAGAGCCAAAAACCUGACAAAAAAAGUCAACAAUUGUAAAUUAUAAAAGAAUUCGAGGUUAAUUUUCGAUGCAAAAGAGAACAGAACUGAGCCAGAAAUAAUUGUAAAUAGCGACUUACUUAGUGACAUAAAGGUCCCAAACAUUCACGGUUGAGACAUCCUUGCAAACACCGUCCUCAGAGUCGUCUCCCCUCAAGUCGAUGCCCACUUUACCAUUCCCAGAUGCAUGCUUUUCAUACAACUUAGAAAUAAUAUCCAUUGGAUUGAGUCCAGCAUUCUCUGCCAGGGUUCUCGGUACCAAUUCAAAACUUUCAGCAAACUUAGCAAUGGCAUACUGAUCCAAUCUGCAAAAUAUCCCGUAGUUAAUAUUAAUAGCUUCUUCUAGUACUCAUCUAAUCUACUAUAAAUCCCAAAAACCUGUAGGAGAUUCCCAUCACAGCUAUGAGAAUGAACAUAACCAAUGCCAGAUAUAAAUAACAUGACAGCCAACAAUGCAGAAGAAGACUCAUUUGACACCUCUCCAGCACUAUGCCUGAAUACCUAGUUGUUCAGCAGGUAGAAUCAUGAUGGUCGGUCUUGCACCUGUUCCGGUCGUACCGACCACUGUCGUACUGACUACCUUGGGUAGAAUUCCAUCAAGCCACAAAUGUGUUCAUGUCAUUCAUACAAGUGUAAUGCACAAACUUGCAGCUUAAAUAUGAAACAAUACAUGCAGGAUGGCAUUUUGCAUUAAGAAGAGCACUAGGAAAAAACAAAUCACCCUGUUUCCUUGAAGGAGAACUCUUUCAGUCUUCUCGCCAACUCGAUUUCUGUAGCAGCAGCUCCAGGUACCAUACGACUAUCCCUGCACAUUGCCUAACCAAAAAUGAAUGGGCAUUAAGAAUGGGAUAAUGAUUCUUUCCUUGGAAUUUACAUCCAAAAAAAAUGGAAAAGACAAUUUCAGCAGGUGAGAAUAAAAGAAUUUAAUCAGGUUUAUAUGGCAUUCAAAGAAAAAGAUCAGCACAAAAACAACCUUAUAUGUAUUGACUCCAUCAUCAACAGCUCUUUCAAGAUCAUCCAAUAUACUAUCAGUACUUCCUCGCAGAACCACAGUGGCAACCUUGUUACCCCCAUCUUCACUUCUCACAACAGUGACCUACAUUAAAUUGGCAAAGGCAAAAUAGAGUGAGGCAAGGACAAGGAACCAAAUAUAAGUAAAGCCACCUCUUCAAACAUACCCGAGAACCACCGAUUUCCUCAACUGAAAUUGAAUCAACAAAUCCCAAAUCAUCUGGCUUUGGUUGGCUGAGUUUCAGCUGUCAGAAGAAUUAAAGGCCCAUUAGGUUGCAAUCAAAAGAUGUGAUCUUUUUUCUUAUAACAUAAUCUAGAUAGAAUGCUCACAAGAGCAGAAGUGCCUGUUGUGCGGCAGAAGCGUCGUAGUUCAAACUUUGAGCUGAUUUUCAAGACCAUUAGCCUGCACAAAUAAAAUCACGUAUCAGAGAUGUUGACCAAGAGAGCAAAAUAAUUGAAAUAAUUUUGAAUCCAAAAAGUAGGUGAAUCUAUCAACAACAACAUAUUCAACAUCAUGGGCUAAAUAUCAAAUCAAAACAAGAAAGAGCAAAGUAAAGAGUUGGAAAUAUGGGAAGGAAGCUUGAUGUACUUGUAACGGUCACAGAAAUGCAAUGCCAUUUCCCCGACUGCUCCACCACUAACGAUAACUUUGGCACCAGAAUCAGCAACUGCUUUAAUGAGCUCCUCAACCUUAGCUUCUUCAGUUUUUGCAUAAUUCUCCAGCUGUAAGAAAAAAACAUCAAGAGAAGCCUUCCACAUUUAGAAUAUUUAACCAACAAAAGCACCCUAUACCAAUUUACAAAAUGUAAAGACGGACAGCAUGAGAUAAGAAAAUCAUUAUGCCCAUUGUGCCCAAAACCACAGAUUUUAAAAUAACAGGAAUGCAUUCAAAACAAUUUGCCUUCUAAUCAGUUACUUCUUUCAUAUGAUCUCCUAUUUAAAAAAAGAAUUAAAAAAUUAUCAUAAUUUACCUGCUCAGCAGAGUGAAUCAAAACAGUUCCUUUUGUUUCAGUAGCAGUUGAAUCAACACCAGUAGCAAACACAGCCACCUAACACGAAGUGAACACAACAAUACAAGUCAAAAAGCAACAAGACCUUUAACUUGGCCAAGUGAAAACUAUCAAGCAGCUUUGUAUAACUUAAAUUAAUCUGAAAUGGAUAAAUAGAAAGAAAAAAAAUUACCUUCGCCUUCUCCACACGUUUUAUACUUCCCACAGCAUCACCUUUUAAAGCCAUUCCCCUAAUUACUGUGCAAUUAUGCAAAACUCCUCCAACAAGCUUUGACACACGGACAUUAUCAACAUCAAAGUUCACAGGGUUCUUGGGGCAGACUUGGAUGCAAGCCUAAUGACAUACAAAAAUAAAAGAAAGAAAAUGCAAUUAUGUUAUCCUUCAAAAGGCAAUAGAUUCUAGAAUAAUUGAUUGGUUACGCAGAGAGCAACGAGUUGUGAAUUACAUCAGCUAUAUGGGAAGACAAUAUAUCUUCCAGUCCAUAUUGUUUGCUAGCAACAGCAGCUUUCAUUCGACUAACAACUUGCUCUUUAUUCCGUACAUCCAUAGUCUCAGAACCUUUCUCUACAAGCUCCUCCAAAAUCUCAAGUGUCUACAAAAGUUAAAACACAAAAACCAAUUCACAAAUGACAGCACAUUUAUCAUCACAAUUAACAAUACUCAGGUCAUUGAAGUCACUUAAAAGUGCAAAGGACAAACCUUGGUAAUUGCUUUAGUAUAUCCACUGAUUAUCUCACUCGGAUGCAAGCCAGUCCUAACAAGCUCCUCAGCAUUUUGGAGAAGCUCUCCGGCAAAAGAAAUUGUCAAAUUAGCCCCAUCACCAAUUUCCUCUUGCUGAGCCUUACCCGCCAGAACUAAUAUCUUUGCCGCCGGAUGCUGAACCUCAAGCUCAUUGACAAUGGUAGCAGCAUCAUUGGUAACAAAGAGCUUGUCUAAAUGAUUAAUAACCAUCUUAUUCAUACCUAAAGAACAUUAACAGAAAAUUAAAGCAAAUAAGGCAUUACAAAAAGAACGAUCAUCCCGGAUUUCAGGAAAAAAAAAACAGAACAAUAGUAGCAUCAUCACUCGCAAUAAAGAGCUUAUCUAAAUGAUUAAUUAAAAAUCAUACUCAUACCUAAAAUACAUUAAAACAAUUGAUCCGAAUUUCAAACAGAAAACAAAGCGGAAUUCAAAUUAAAAACAACAAUUAAUAAAGAAAUUCGAAGAGAGAGAAGGGUACCGUCGGGGCCGAGGGAAGUGCGGGUGAUUGUUGAGAGUUGCUUGCAAGCAUCGAUGUUUUUCAAAACAGCUUCAUCGAGACCUGAGAGAUGCUUGUGACCUUCCUUAAGCAUCGAUUGUAUGCCAUGAGGUUGCAUUGAGAACGCCAUUUUUUUCUUCUUUUUUUGCACAAACCCUAAUCAAAGAAGAGUAAAUUAAAAAAUCAAACCCUAGAAAUGGGGGGAAGUGGAACUUGAAUUAGUCUUGAAGAAGGAAAUAGCAAAAUGGAAGUGUAAGUCAGGCAAACCCUAAAACACUUUCUAUAAAGGUUUGUCUUAGAUGUAAGCUCUUCCUUUCAAAAAUCCAUAGAUUUAAGAUUUUCAAAAACUUGCAAAUUUAGUCUCUAAUAUUUACUUUUAUUAUCAUUUUCGUCCCUUUCUUUAAAAUCACUUAACUUUUAAUUUUUAUUUUUUAAUAUUUAAUAUUUUUAGUCACUUUUCUAUAAAAAACAAUUUAAUUAAAUUUUGAAAUUUUAAAGCUAAAAUGAUCUAAAAUAAAUAAAUGUUAAGAAAUAAAUUUAUUAUUAUGCCUAUUAAAAUUGUGAUUUAGAUUUCAAAGGACUUGUAUCUAAUGAUAAAUAUAAAUUUAGUAGAUUAUUGUGAAAAUGGAAAAAAAUAAAAAUAUAUAUAUAAAACAUUUAUAUAAAAGAUAUAUUUAUAUUUAAAGGGAUAAUUUUUAAAACUGCAUAUUAAUUUUGAUUUAAUGUGUAAUUUAAUAUAUAAACUUUGAUUGGGUGUAAUUAUACAGAUAAAACUUUUUUUUGAACGAUAUAAACAUGAAACUUUGAUCGUGGUUAAAAUUUAUACAUAAAAUUUUGAUUGUGAUUUAGUCAUACACAUUUAAAAAAAUAUAAAUACAUCAUUUUCUUUUCAUAUUAGAUUAAUAUGAUUAUUUGUGUAUACAAUAUGUAAAUGUAAAAUGGAGUUAUAUUGAUAAUUAUUUUAGCAAUUUAUAAAAAUUAAAUCAAAUCAAAAUUUCAUUACUAGAAUUACAGAAAUUCAUAGUUUAUGUAUAGCAUUGCACGUUUUAUCAAUAUUCAUGUAUAAUUUUGAUAUUUUUCCCUAUUUUAAAUCCACAAAUAAUGAUUUAUCCCGUGAAUUAUACAUCAUUUGUUAAUGUAAUACCUGUGGUUUUUUGCUCUCAAUUUGGUACAUGUGAUUUUUUUCAGUUAACCGCUUUAACCUAAACCAUUACAAAAAGUGACUGUGGCAAUAUUGGAUCUCGUCACAUCGUGGGUCUUGUGACCUUAAGCUUAUGCAUUCCGAUGUGCAAAUGAAUCAAACUAAGAACUACCUAGAAUCAUGAAAAUGGACAACCAAAAAGUAACGCCAAUGUGCUCUUCUUAAAGCUAGGUCUUCUUGACCAAAAGGCAUUAUUGGCACUCUUCUGAUUGCAACCUUGUUGAGCAGAUGAAGCUUCACCACCAUGGUCUGUUGCAUGUAGGACUCAUCAUCAGAAGUUGCAUGACCUUCACUACUCUCUGACUAGCUACGAUCUCUAACUCGACUUAUUGGCAUUUUUUGGGUUAGAACCUUUAAGGACACAAGAGGGAUUAAAAGAAAGGAGAGGAAGCAUAAUAUGAGUUUCGUACAAUAGGAAUAAUACUACCUUCUUUGUGCAUAGUCAACACUAACAAAUGAAAUAACAUUAGAGGAUGGAAGGUCUCCAUUAAUACAUUGUCAAAAUGGGUGAAGUUAGAAAAUAUUUUUAAGGGUCAAAAUUAAAUUAUAAUUUUUAUUAUAGUAAAAAUGUAAUUUAACUAUUUUAAUAGUUUAUAUCUUUAUAAUUUUUAAAUGAUUAAUCAAACUUUUAUCAAUUUUAAGGAGAUUAAAGUGUAAUUUUAUCUUUACUAAUUUAAAAUUUUAAAAAUUAAAAAAGUCUAAAUGAAAAUUUUUCUAUUUUAAGAGAUCGGAGUCCCUGCCAACCUUUUAACUACGCCCCUUACUGUCAACAAAUUUGCUAUCCAUUACAAGGACUCAUCAAUAAAAAAAUUAAUUUUUAAAGGCCAAAAAAUCCAUUUUAUUAUAUCUAGACAUACACUAUCUUUUAAUUUUUAUUUAACUAUUAAAUAAUAAAAAUAUUAUAUUUUAUAAUUUUUCGACCAAAAGAAAAAUAUUUAAUUAUUGAUAAAGUAAAAUUUAAAAGUAAAGUAUAGUAGAUAUUUAAUAAAUAUUAAUAAAUAUAUUUAUAUAAAAAAUACAAAUAAAUGAGGUUUUGAUUGAAAUAGUAAAUAUAAUAUUUUAUGUGUAUUUUUAUUAGCAUGUGUAUUUUUAUAGAUUUUACAUAACAUAUAAAUAGAUAAAAAAAUAUUCUUAUACUAAUGUUUGUUGGCUAAAUUAGGCAUUUAUGUUGAAAAGAAAAUUAGGGAAAUGGGUCAAAAUUUGUGAUAUUUAGAGAAAUAUGUUGAUUUUGGAGAAAGGAUGUGAAAAAACGUCCAGUGAGAUGUGUUUUUCUUAGUUGGGUGAAAGUGCGUCCUGCUGGAAGCGUUUUCCUGAUAAGUCAACAGAAAAUGCGUCUAGCAAGAUAGAUGUGUUUUCACUUUCUUUCUUCUCAGUUGGUUGACUUUUUCUAGAGUUAGGGUUUUGUGUUUUUAAGGUUUAUGUUUUUAAGGUUCAGGAUUGGAAUUUUUUAGCGAAAUACUUAGGGGGUUUUGACUUUCUCAUAUCUCUUGUACAAGAAGAUGUUAUCAAUUUGUACCAAUGGCUUACUGUGUUGAAAUGAUUUUUUGCAUUGCUUGAAACUCCAAAAGAAUUGAUGAAAAACUCUUUUCCCAUGAACCAAUUGAUCACGAUAGUACACAGACUCCGCUUGUAGAUCAGUUACGAAACCUGGUACAUAUCGAGCCAAUACUUGACACCAUUGUCACAGAUCAUUGUAUGACUUGUCCCACCCGUUAUGAAUCUUUCCUAUAACCUUUUGUUUUGCGACUCAUGCCUUGUAGUACGACGACGUAUAGUUGUACAGACUAUGAAUAUUGACAAUCACCUAUGGGAAAAGAGUUUUUCAUCGAUUUUUUUGGACUUUUCGAGCAAUGCAAAGGAGCAUUUCAAUAUUGUAAACCAUUGAUACAAGUUGACAAUGUCUACCUAUAUAGGAAAUAUGAGAAAGUAAAAAAAACUGUAAAUAUUUCUCUCAAAUUUUCUAACUCUAAACCUUAUAAAACCAAAAUCCUAACCUAAAAAAAAACAAUCGACUAAGGAGAGAGAAAGUGAAAACUUGUCUAAUAGAAUGGGUGUAUUUUUUGCUGACUUGUCAAGAAAACACUUCCAAUGGGGCGCGCUUUCACCCAAGUAGGAAGAAAACUCGUUCAGUUAGAUACGUUUUCACUCUCUCUCCAAAAUCGAUUUAUUUCCCUAAAUAUCAUAAAUUUCGGCCCAUUUCCCUGUUUUUAUGGCAAUAUGCCUAAUUUAACCAUUGUUUGUUACUUUACAAAAAGUUUUCGAAAAAUUUUUAAUUGAGUUGAGACUCAAGUGAUAAGUAAUACUAAAUCAAUCAAACAUUUUUAUAAUAUCUUACUAAAAAUUCUAUCACAUAUGUAUGCAUUCGAAAACUCCAUAUUUAGAACAAAAAUAUCUACUUAAAAAUAGCACACAAUAAAUAAUGAAACGUAAAGUUUGAAACAACAACAAUAACGACGACACAUAUGCAACAUAUAUGAAAUUAAAUUUAAAAACAGUUUAAAUUGUGAGUAAAAUGAAGUUUAAUUAGGUAAAUACAUUAGAUUAAUAAAAUUAAAUACACUCCAAUUAUUUAUCAUAAUAUUACCAUUUUUCUUAACUUGAUAUCGAGUGAACUUGUGACACAAAUUCAAUCAACAAAAUUAUCAUUAUAUACAAAUAAUGUGGGUGAAACAAUUUGUGUACUAUCAUUUAAAUGUAUAAAAAAAUAAAAAUAAAACUUUGGUUAAAGUGAUAAAGAAAAGAUUUUAUAAAUUCUUGCGAUACGAGUUCAAAUCUCAACAUUUGUAUUUUUUUAUUUUUAAAAUAAUAAAAAGACAAAAAUACCCUCGUAAUAACAUAAUUUAUUUAAAAUAUGUAAGGUUAUUUUCGUAACUUUUUUAACUGAAUUAGUGAUGUGUCAACUUGUAUCAACAAUUCACACUUAAAUAAUAGUAUAUACAUAGAUUUUAUUUAUUUUUAUUUAUAAAGAAUACAUUUUAAUUAUGAUUUUCAAAUAAAUAAAUAAAAAUAUAUUAUAGUGUGAAUUUAUAAUAUUAUUUAAAUCUUUAAACUUAUGCAACAAAUUAAAGAGGUAUUAACUCAAUUAAAAAAUAUUAAAAAAUUAUUAUUUUUAAAAAUAAAUUAUAUUAUUAAGGAAUUUUUAUUGUUAAGAUAUUUUUGUAAAAAUCAAUAAAAUGAUAAAAUUUAAACUUAAAGAUAUUUAAUUGUACUCCUUUAUCAAAAUUUUAUUUUAUUAACUAUAUUUUACAUAAAAAAUUUCACCACUAUCACACUACCAUUACCAUUCUAUUUGCACUUCACUUUUUUUUUUUUAAAUUACACUUCAAACCCUUUUCGUAUUAGAAUUUUAUUAUGGUAGUAUGUUUAAAAAUAAUAUAUAAUAAAUAAUAAAACAUGUUAUUUAAAAUUAAUUAAUAAUAAAUAAAAUAUAUACUAUAUUAAAAUAAAAAUUAAAUUAAAUUAUGAGAAAAAUAAAAAUUAAACAUUUAAAUACAUAAUAAUAAUAUUAAAUGUAUUUUAAUUAUUUAUUAUAAUAUUAUCAUUAAUGUUAUGUUGAUAUCUAAUUAAUUUAUAACACCAAUUAAAUUCGAUAAAGAUAAUAAAGAAUAAAAUUAAAAUGUAUAAAAUAUCAAUUUUAGUUGAGUAGUAAAAUUAUUAUUUUAUGGAUCUAAAUGUUAUGGUUAAUGUAAAUUAUUUAAAUUUUAUUUAAAAAAAUUUAAGCACUCUAAAAUAAUAAUAAUAAUAAAUAUUAUUUAUUUAUUUAUUUAUUUAUUAUUAUUAUUAUUUAUGUUUGACACACAAAUGACCCUCACCGUACAUAAUAAAAUUUGUUUUCUCAAUCUUCUCUUACAGUUCUAUUCAAUCAAUCUCUCAAAAAAAAAAAUUGGUUUUUUCUGUAUCUUUCGAUAACCCUAAUUUUUGGCAUACCAUUUCUUUUUCCAAGUCUUGAUUUUUAUUUCUCGGUUUUUUUUUUCUAAAUCAAGCCCCCAAAAUGUAUUUUCUGAAUAUUUCAUCAAGAAUCGGAGCUUGACCCAUCACGUUUUUUGAGGUAACCGAUCUUGUAAUUUUUUUGAAGUUUGUUUGAUGAUCGGUUUUACUUUUGAUUAUUUAUUUUUUAUGAACAGUUGAAUGAUCAGAUUAGAGAUUGUUUGGUUACUAAAAUCUGGUUUAAACUGAUUAUAAAAUGGAAAGUUUUUGUGUGAUGUUUUGAAUUUUUUCUAUCUUUUGAAUCAUAUUUUUGGGCAAUCAAAAAUGAAUAUGGUUGAUCAAAAGAUUGUUGAUUUUUAUUGUAAAUUAUUGAUUUUUUUCUUUUUGCUUGAUAUUUAAAUGACUGAUACAAAUAAUCUAUGAAGUUGGGAUUUUUUUAUCAAAUAUGGAAUGAAUUUGCAUUGAUUUUUGUAUGUUUUUAGCUACAUUUGCUUUAUAGCUAGUCUGUUCUUGGCAAAAAAAAAAAAAGAUUUAUUUUGAAAGACUAUUUGCUAAAUAGUCUAUUUGAGAUAGCUACUUAGUGGAAGAAUUAUUUGUUUCCUCUUUUGAUAUAAUUUGCUCACUGAUUGUAUUAUUAUUGUUUAUAAUUUGAUAUCUGGUAAUGUCAUGAGAGACAGGGUUUUUAUUCUAAGGGUAUGUUAAAAAAGUUCCAUAUAUAGUUACAUUGAUUAUAUGAGACCUUUCCGAAUAUGUACUGUUUUGCAUGUGAUAUGUGUUUAUUGGUUUCUUUUAUUGGUAAAGUUGGUUACUUUUAUGUUAACAGAAGAUUUGAAGGGGGUAUCGAGGGAAUUAAUUGGAAUGUGAAUUGUAUGGGGUGAAGAUGCCAGAUUUGCGAAGUGGAGCCCGGAGAUCGAAACGCAUUGAUGAUCUUCAGCCUCCUCCUCCUCCUCAUCCUCAACCAGUUGAACAACCGGAGAAUUGUGUACUGCUUGCUCAAAACCGAACCAGGAGGAGAGUUGGUGGAAGAGGGAGGGGUAAUGCUGCAGGUGUAGCCAAAGGGCCCUCAGCGGUGGUACCUACGAGGCCAACAGCUGCUGGUAGAGGCCGGGGCAUUAGGUUGAUAGAUUUAGACCCCGAACCUUGUCAGGUUCUUCCAGGGGCUUUACCUUUGGUUGCUGCUGAACCGGCGGCUUUUAACCGAGUAGAGGUGGUGGCAGAUAAAGAUAUUGCAAUGGAGGGUAGGAGUGGUGACAAAAUAGUUGGAGUUGAUGAAGAAGCUAGUACAACCCCGGUUCCUGAAAGGGUAUCUCCAAAGUGUUUGCCAUAUGUUUCCUUUUUAAAUAUAUUUAUUUUUUACUUAAAUCUUCCAUAGUAAGUUGCUUAUUCCCGGGACACCUUACUUUUGGCAAGAAAACCGGUUAAAUACAGUUUUUUUUCGUAUCCUUCAUGACAGCAUUUCAAGAAUGCUUCAACUAAUUGGAUAAUCAUUUCUACUUCUAUUGUUCAUGAAAGUGAGGGAACCAGUGUUUUAACUUUCUUACCAACGAUAACGUACGUAGUUAUUUUGUUGUUUCUCUCAAUGCAUACCAUUUUUAUUAUUUGUUGCAGGUACAAGUGGGUAAUUCUCCUGUAUAUAAGGUAGAAAGGAAACUGGGAAAGGGUGGUUUUGGCCAGGUUUAUGUUGGCCGAAGGGUAAGUGGUGGUAGUGGUAGAACUGGACCAGAUGCAAUUGAGGUAUGUCCGAGAAAUUCAUUCCCAUGCUUAAGGGUUUUCCAGAUCAAACCACUUGGAUGUGAUGACAUGAGAUUUUUUCAUAACAGGUAGCCUUGAAACUUGAGCACCGAAACAGUAAAGGUUGCAAUUAUGGUCCGCCUUAUGAGUGGCAAGUGUACAAGUAUGGCAUUUAUAAUCCUAAAACUUUGAGUCAAGCUUUUGUUUCUACAUAGUGCAGCUUCUAAAUUCUUACUUUUUUUCUCUUGAUGUCCUUACGAAAUGCAAAGUACCCUAAACGGGUGCUACGGAGUUCCUUGGGUGCAUCACAAGGGUAUCCAAGGAGACUUCUACGUUCUGGUGAGCUUUUAUUCUGUGCUCCUUUGUGUCAUAACACCCGAAAUACUUAAUGCAUCUUAAAGAAAAUUAAUGAAAUUUUCAGGUGAUGGAUAUGCUCGGUCCUAGUCUUUGGGAUGUUUGGAAUUCUUUAGGACAAUCGUAAGAAAUAGAUUCCUCCUCUUUUGUCUUUGUUGUACAUAUUUGAGGCGCGUCUAGAUGAUUCUACAAUACACUUUCAUAUUUGUAAGGUGUAAUAUGACAGGAUGUCUCCUAAUAUGGUUGCCUGCGUAGCAGUGGAGGCAAUAUCAAUUCUUGAAAAGCUUCAUUUAAAAGGGUAUGUCAUAUCUGAACUUUCUGCACUUCAUUAAAUUCAUCCUUCCGUUUUGCAUUGUUGCAGCUGAUUGUUUAUUGUCUUCUUGAAAUAAGGUUCUUGCAUGGGGAUGUGAAGCCUGAGAAUUUUUUACUAGGCCGACCUGGAUCAGCUGAUGAGAAGAAGCUAUAUCUUAUUGAUCUUGGUUUAGGUAAAUUAUCCUCGGUCCCAACUUCCCUUCUGCUGUGUUUAGCAUGAGCGCUUAUAGUUAACUGUUAGUGUUCUCUUCUUCUUCAAUGGGAGAUUUCUCUACGAGAUUAUAAUUUUCUCUCAUGUUUUUUAACCGAGCUGGAAUAAAUGCUAUUUGCUAAUGGUAUUAAUUGCUAUCUGCCUCUUGUGUUCUUGGAUCAGCUUCUAGAUGGAAAGAUGCACGCUCAGGUCAACAUGUUGAUUAUGAUCAGAGGCCUGAUGUAUUCAGGUUUGUGGACUUUUUGCUUUAAACAUAAGAGGGUAUUGCUUAUACUUGGUGCUAAUAUCUUCAAUAUUUCUUUUAUCAGGGGAACAAUUAGAUAUGCUAGUGUACAUGCACAUUUAGGUCGGACUGGAAGUCGUAGGGAUGACCUCGAGUCUUUGGCAUACACAUUGGUAUUUCUUCUAAAAGGGCGGUUACCAUGGCAGGGUUAUCAGGUUUGUUUCAUUGUUUCGAUUAUGGAUUUACCUAAUCUGGUAUACUUCAUUCCUCUUUACCAUCCUGCCUUUUUUGGGGCUUCACAGGGGGAUAACAAGAGUUUUCUGGUUUGCAAGAAAAAGAUGGCCACUUCACCCGAGUUGAUGUGUUGCUUUUGUCCUGCACCAUUUAAGCAGUUCCUCGAAGCUGUUUCAAAUAUGAAGUUCGAUGAGGAGCCCAAUUAUGCCAAGCUAAUAUCCUUCUUUGAAAGCCUAAUUGAACCAUGCACACCAUUGCAACCAAUUAGAAUUGACGGAGCUCUUAAGGUGGUUGUUAUGCCUUUUCCCACAAUUAAAUCAGUUCGAUAGGUUGUUCAAUUAAAAAACUUUUUCUUGGUUUCCUUUUGUAUAAAUAGAUUGGGCAAAAGAGGGGAAGAAUACUCAUUAACUUGGAAGAAGAUGAGCAACCUAAGAAAAAAGUACGAAUAGGUAAUGCUGCUACUCAGUGGAUUUCGAUUUACAAUGCUCAUCGCCCUAUGAAGCAAAGGUAAAAUUGCAUUUCUUGUUAAAUAUAGUAUCCAUUUCUACUACUUAUUGUUGUGAAAUGCUCAAAUAUUUUAUUUUAUCUCCAAUCUUUAAUGUUUGUUGUGUGAUCUUAUAUUCAAGUCGGGCCCCUCCUCCUAUUGCCAAUUUGUUUUAUGGUUGAUGCUUGGCAUGGUAUCGGAUCCUUGGUUUUCUGUUUCCGGCCUAUCCCCAUGUGAGGUUAACUUACCCCACGUGGCUUUCCACAUGUGGCCCCUUGUUAGCUGCAUUUAGGGGGGAGUAUUAAGUUCUGUUAUCCUACAUCUAUUAAAAGUCUUGGGUAUGCUGUGGUCUUAUAUUCAAGUUGGAUUCCCCCACCUAUUUUCAAUCAGUUUUAGAUUCAAUCGAUGCUUAACAACUUUCAUUAUUGGUGUCUUGUCUUUGAUGAUUAAACUUUUACAGUGACUGGCCAAAACUAAAGUAAAUGACAAAAGACCCAAUACUCAUUUCAAAGUUUGCAUGUGGUCCAUUAAAAUUUGAUUGCCACUCCUUGAUGUUUGUUUUCCGGUGCAUGCCUCUUUCCAUGAAAUGCGAGAUAUUCAACUAUGAUGCUUAAUGUUUGUUUUUGCCUAGAGUUCGCUCAUCUUCGGUAUGUUCUCAAUCGGUGUCCAUCUGACCUUUAGCUUUUUACCAAUCUUGUAGAUAUCACUACAAUGUAGCGGAUUUGAGAUUGAGCCAACAUGUGAGUAAGGGUAAUGAAGAUGGUUUGUUUAUUAGUUGCGUGGCUUCGGCAGCUAAUCUCUGGGCCCUGAUCAUGGAUGCGGGAACUGGUUUCUCUUCCCAGGUUUAUGAAUUGUCAACCGUAUUUCUACACAAGGUGAUCAUUCUAAGGCCUAAUUGGUGUCAUUUUUAUGCUUGCUUUAUGCGCCUUUUUUACUUUGGACUUCUAAUAUCAACUCGAUUUUAUCAGGAUUGGAUUAUGGAGCAGUGGGAAAAGAACUACUAUAUUACUUCAGUAGCUGGAGCAAACAACGAGAGUUCCUUGGUUGUUAUGUCGAAAGGUUGGUCAUUACAUACUAAAUAUAUUUCUUUUUAGACUACUUUGAAACUAGAAAACUUUUACCUUUUUAGCAGUGUCAUUGAGUUUGCUGAGACCACUGUCAUGCACAGAUAAAUUCAUAUAUUAAAAUUUAUUAAUGAAUCCCAGUGUUAAAGACUUGUCGAAUUUAUGUUCAUCUUCCUAAACCUGCUGCCAUAAUGCUGAAGUCAUACUAUGUUAUAUCCAAAGUGGUAUGCUUAAUUUGAAGGGUCUUUAGAGGGUCGUAUCCCAUACUCAUGUCCAAAGGUGUCCGACACAGGUACUUAAAAGAAAAAUGACGAGUCGAAGCAACAUAGCAGUCAUACACGAUCACAUCUUAUUGAGAUUAAAUUUAGUACUGAUGUAAAUAUGAAAUAGUCUACAGUUUAUGUUUCCUUCUAAAGGCUAGAACUGACUCCUUGGUUUCAAAAAAGCAAAAACCAUUAGUUUUUAGGGCUUAUUUUCAGCAAUUAACCUUUAGAAAGAAACUAAUGUCAAGCUUGUGGGUUGCAGAUGAGAUCAGUGAAAGCAAUAUGCUCCGAGCUUGCCCGAGAUUCAUAUAUAUUGAAAGCAUGUAAAUUAUAUUGACCAUCUAAUCACAAGCUAUUAUUGAUAUUCUGUGACUUCGUAGGGACUCCUUACACCCAGCAAUCCUACAAGGUGAGCGAAUCUUUUCCGUUCAAGUGGAUAAAUAAGAAGUGGAAAGAAGGCUUUUAUGUAACAUCAAUGACAACUGCUGGGACUCGCUGGGGUGUGGUAAUGUCAAGGAACGCUGGAUUCUCUGAUCAGGUAUUCCUUUCUUUUGAUCUUUACAUGUAUCUUCAGUUUUCCACUGUCCUCCAUUUCCUAAGUAUCUACUUACGCGUUGUUUUGCAUUUAUUUCAACCAUUCAAGGUUGUGGAGCUCGACUUCUUAUAUCCAAGUGAAGGAAUACACCGGCGAUGGGAGAGCGGUUACAGAAUAACAUCAAUGGCUGCAACUGUGGAUCAAGCUGCCUUCAUACUUAGCAUUCCAAAACGAAAAACAACAGAUGAUACUCAGGAAACGCUCCGUACAACUGCCUUUCCCAGCACCCAUGUAAAGGUGGGUAUACCCUAUUUUCGCACCUCAAUAUCCUUUUAACAUCCAUAUGAUGAUUGAUCAUUGGUUUGGAUUUUAAUGUUACAGGAAAAAUGGGCAAAAAACCUAUACAUUGCAUCGAUUUGUUAUGGUCGGACAGUUCGCUAAUCCCGGUCUGUACAUUCUGACUUAAACCAAAAAAAGAAAAAAGAAAAUGAGUUCAUGGUUUGAAAGCCACCGAGUAUCUUUCGUCUCGAGUUCGGUUAACUCUUCUAUAUAAUCUUCUCAUAUGUGAAUGUAAAAAGGGGAAAACUUGAAAAAAGAAAUGCAUAAGUGAGAAAUUGAAGAAAUGAGUUAAAAUUCCUUGAGCAGUUUUUCUGUUAUAAGCAUAAAUUUGAUGGUAAGCCGUCUUUUAUUUUAUUGAGAGAUAUCAUUAAUGGCUGCAAGUAAAUGUGCAGUGAAAAUCUUUCACCUGAGGAAAUAUGCCAAUACUUUCAUAUACUUGAUAAUCUGUAUAUUUAUAACAACUCUUCUAAAGUUUAUAAGAAUUUGCCAUAUAUUCAUUUAGUAUAUUACUAUUUUGGUUGGAUUGGGUUAAGGUUAAUAUCCUACGGUUUGCCUUCCUUCUAGAGGUGAUUGAAUCCAUAAUUCAGAAGCUUUUUGAUUUAAUCAAUUAUUUUUAUUUAGUGUUUGGUGUUAUUCAUGUUAUCAUAGGAAUGUGACAUUCUUUGAAAUGUAUUUCUCGGGAAAGUUUGGUUUGGUAUACAUUAUCAAGUAAUGAUAAAUUAAAUUUUUAUUUUUAUUAAAUAAAAAUAAUAUUUAUGUACUUAAUAUUUUUCUUCAACUAAAACCAUAUUCAUUAAAAAGAAAGACAAAAUGAACAAAGUGAAAACAAUCUAUAGAUUUAAUUUCUAUUUUAUUUUUAACAAAAAUUUAAGUUAAAUCUUUAAUAAUAAAUUUUAAUUGACAUUUUAAUUUUUUUAAUUUAUGAUGUUAAUUGAAAGUAAAUUUCUUUUAAAUCUGUCUUUCAUAUAUUUUGCAAAUAUAAUAAUGAACGUAUAGAAUUCUGUACAUAUAAAAUUUGUUUUAUAUAUAAUAACAGACAUUGAGGUUAAUAUAGGAGAACGUUAGGGGUGUGUAAAUUUCGGAAAAAGUUGUGUAAAUUUUGGAUAAAGUUGAGUUAAUUCAGUUAAUCGAAUUAGUUCGGUUAGGGGUAAGUUAAUAAUUUUUUGGAAGUUUAGUUAACAGUUAAUUUAAAUUGAAAUAGGUCGGUUAACCAAAUUAACUGAUCUUAAUAAAUAAUAUUAUAACAUAUAAGUAUUAAGUCAGGGUUUGUUAGUUCGGUUAAUUUUUUGGAAGUACAAAUUAAUCGAUCAGUUAAUUCGAUUAAUUUUUUUAUGUUUUAUAUUUGUUUUAACCAAAAAUAAAAAUAUAAAAUUUUAAUUAAUUCGGUUAACCGAUCGAAUUAACCGAAAAAAUUCGGUUUGGUUAAUUUAUUUUUUAACAAGAUUGGUUUAGUUAAAGAUUAAGGGUUUAAAAGGGUCGGUUAAUUUAAUUAAUGGUAGUUUGAGUCGUUUAACCGAUUGAACACCCCUAGAGAACAUGGGUUCGAGUGCGCUGAAGCACAUUAUCCUCCUAUUUAUGGGUUGAAGAAGGGCUAUAGGUAGUUUUAGACAUUGUGUUAAAAAUAAUAGAUAUAAUCAAAAACUAUAAUGAAAUUAUUAAAAAAAACUUAUUUUUGAAUAAAUUAAAAAUAUUAUGUAUAUAUAAUACUUACGAAUAAUCUAUUGAAAUAUAUAAAAAAAUCAAGUUGUAAAAUAAAAGAAGAAGAUAAUAAUUUUAUUUUAUUUUUACGUUUAUCAAAGAAAGAUUUUAAAAUAUUCUAUGUAUUGAAAAAAAUUUCAAAGUCCAUCAUUUGUACUAAAUUUUGUUUUAAUACUAAUUUUUUUUAAGAAAAAUGAAAAUAUAAAGGGAAAAGAUAAGUUUAAAAAAAAAUUAAAUUGUUUAAAAAUAUUCGAGCAUUGGUCAAAUAGUUUGAUAUGUAAUAAAUAGAUAAUAUUAGUGAUUAUAAAAAUACAAUGAGAUCUUAGCUUAGUUAUCAAAGACGGAGGCUCUAGGUUUUGGUAUUUAGAUUCGAGGCUUAUUAUGUGCAAUUAUAUGCGUAGAUUUUUGAGCUCAUCAUGUAUGGAAGUUUUAGUCUAGAUAAUCUUAGUUUGUUGGGUUUAGUUAGGAUCGUAUCAAUUUUUAGUUUGUUAAUAUUGUGCUGUAAUAGUUUGAUUCUAUUCAGUGAUUACUCGGAUAGUUCAUUUGUAAUAGUUUGAUACUUGUGGUUACUCAGACUUGUAUUUGUAAUUAUAUUAUACUUGUUACACUUUAAAAAAAAAUUUGAAAAAUUUAGUAAUCAAAGUGUUGGUAAAAGUACCAUGAAGGCCAUUAUACUAGAAGUCAAAUUGCAUUCUACCCCUCUACUAAAACAAUGUGUAAAAUAGUACUCGUAAAUUAGAUCAAAAAGCAAAUUGGCAAUUCUAUUAAAAAAAUCAUUCAUAACUACUACUAAAAAUUGGUUCUUAUACAUAUGACGUGUAACUGUCAGAUUUUUCUAUGAACUACAUCAAUUUUUAAUAGAAGAAAUAGAUUAAAUUUUGAACAGAAAGGAUUAAUUUGCUCCUUAACAUAAGGUACAAGGAUUAAUUUGCCCUUUUUUUUAGUAAAGGGGGUAAAAAUACAAUUUGAGUCCUAGUAUAGAGACCUCUAUGGUACUUUGAGGUAAAUGACUUAUUUGGCACUCCAAUUUUACAAAAAAAAAAGAAGAAAAGACUAUUUUAGUUCUUCAUUUUAGCCCUUCACGCGUAUGUCACGUCAAUAAAAUUAAUAAAAUAUUAUUAUUUUUUAUUCAUUUUUAAGUGAAUUAAUAAACAAUUCAAGUUCAAGUACUAAAACAAAUGAAAAAUUAAACGGAAAACUAAAUAACUUUAUUUUAUAAAGUUAGAAGUUAAAAUAAGCAAUUACACUAUACUUUUACCUUGAAAUGUGAUCAAGCCAAUGAACUUGUAGUUCACCGUCUUGAAAAUGUUUAAGGCAAUUUUAUUUUAUUUUUUAGAACUACGAGUAUAUUAACAAGUUCAAAUCAGUAAAAUAAAUAAUUGUUAAAAAAUAUCAAAUAAUUUAAAAAUAUAAAUUCAAAACUUGAGGAAUUCAGCACUACAAAAGUUUAUCAAAAGAUUUUUAUUUUAAUUUAAUUAUUGAAGCAUAUAAUAUUAAUAAAUAAAUUAUAAAAAUAAUCACUUCUAUUUAUCUCAUAUUAUAUUUUAAUUAUUUAUAUUUAAAGUAUUAUAUUUUAAUUAUUUAUAUUAACGUUUUAUUAUGAAAUGAUCACUCUACUGUUAAGAUUUACUAUCUCCAAAAAUCACACUCCAACAUGAUAAUUAAAAUAUGUUUUAAAUUGAGUAAAAAUAAUCCUAUAAAAUUGAGUAAAAAAAUUUAUAAAAAUAAAUUCAGACAAAUUUCUGCUCAUGAACGCACAUGCUUUUAACUAAAAGGAUAGUUUAGUAAUUUAAUAUACUAAGAAACUGCAAAACCCUAUUUCUCCUGUUUCUUACAAAUUUUUACUCCUUCAAGUAUAAACCCUUUCAGGAGAAAAAACACUUGGAAGCCUCACCUCGGAGAAGCCGAACAGAGAGUGUGAUAAAAAGGCAAAAUCCAUGCGACCACCGAGAGGAGGCGGAGGUUUCCGUGGCGGCAGGGACGGUGGCAGAGGGAGAGGAGGUGGCCGAGGAGGCUUUGGUCGCGGUGGUGGACGUGGUGGCGGUGGGUUUCGUGAUGAAGGCCCUCCUGCUGAAGUAGUGGGUUAGUGUUUUUUUACCCCUUUGUGGUAAUUGUUAUUUUGGUUUUCUUGUUUGGAUGCUAAGAAAAUGAGAGGAACAAUAAAAGAAACCCCAUUUUGAUGCAGCGAGGAGUAAGUACUAGGUAGUAACAUUUUUUAUUUACGGUUUUUCUUCCAUUGCCCUUUGCUUUGUCUAUAUACACACAUAUCUUGUUGGAUGCUUAGAAAAUUAAAUUUAAUUGCAAAAUUAGGGAUAAAAGCAGUGGUUUUGUUGCAAAUAAGAGCUCGGAUGUGAGUGCAAGUUAUUAUUUUGGUUACUUAGCAGUAAAAGAUAUUAUUUUGUUUUGUUACUCGAACUUGAGUGCGAGUGUAAGAUACAAUUAUAUCGGACAUUGGUAUGUCUAAUUUCUUAAAAGAACCUUCACUUGUAGGAUUGCGUUUUGAAAUUUGUGUCUGAAAAUAUGUCCGAUACGGGUGUCAAUACACCAUACUUAAACAACAACGAACAAUCUGGGCAAUAAUUUGACUUAACGAACAAUCUGGGCAAUAAUUUGACUUUCUUUUGUUUGUUAUUUAUGCAGAGGUAUCUACAUUCCUUCAUGCUUGUGAGGGUGAUGCAGUGACAAAGCUGAGUAAUGAGAAAAUACCUUUCUUUAAUGCUAACAUCUAUCUGCAAAACAAGACCCAGAUUGGGAAAGUCGAUGAAAUCUUUGGUCCUAUCAACGAAUCUGUGAGUUCUGAUGCUAGUUUUCAAUGCAUUGUUCUUAAAUGUUCUGGACUUUCAAAUGCAUGUUGGUUUAUUUGCUUUCUUGCUUGUUGCAGUAUUUUUCAAUCAAGCUGUUGGAAGGUAUUGUAGCGACCUCGUACACUGCAGGUGAUAAGUUCUAUAUUGACCCAAGCAAACUUUUGCCUCUUGCUAGAUUUCUUCCACAACCAAAGUAUGUUUGCUUUUCCUUAUAUUCUUUCAUUUACUGUCACAAAAUUGCUUUGCUUUGAUUUAUUUUAUCGAUGCUUGUGUCCUGGAUUUGUUUUGAGAUGAUCUAACCAAACUUGUCGAGUUUCAACCGAACUUGCAUGGGGAAAAAAACUGAAAUUUUUGGGUUUCAACCUCCCCCUAUAUGUCUUUUUUUAUCUCACAAUCAAGUUCGGAGGCUAGGCAUGUUGGUUUCUUAUCUGAAAUUUUCGGGGCAAGUUGUGGGGCAGUUCUAGAUAAAAUCCACCUUGCCACGAACUUAUAUGGGAGAAACAAGCGAACUUUUUGGGUUUCAACCUCACCCUAUAGGGCUUUCUUUUAUCUGACAAUCGAGUUCGGAGGCUAGGCAUGUUGGUUUCUUAGCUGAAAUUUUCAGGGCAGGUUGGGAGUGGUUCUAGAUAAAAUCCACAUUGCCCCGAACAUAUAUGAGGAAAAAUAACCCAACUUUUCAGGUUUCAACCUCACCUUAUGGGUCUUUCUUUUAUCUGACAAUCAAGUUCAGAGGCUAGGCAUGUUAGUUGCUUGGCUGAAAUUUUCAGGGCAUAUUGGGGGCGGUUUUAGAUAAAAUCCACCUUGCCUCGACUCAAUAUUUUUACUAAAGUACCCCCUCUUUUAAUUCUUUAACUUUUUUUUUAAUAUAUUUGGUUUAGUUGGUAGAUUUUUGGAAAUGGUGUUUAAGUUUACAGAUUGGGAGGAGUUCUUUGUUUCAGGGGUCUGGUCUUGGGAGCUAGAUUCAAGUCAAGUUCUGGUUUCCAAUCUGUUGCUAUCCUCAUAUGCUUCAAUUUAAUUUAUCUUUUGAUGUGAAAUUGGUAGUUUGCUGGAGUUCAUAUAAUUGGUUAUGGUACAUAAUAUCACAUGAUGUAAUUUUUUAGGGGGCAAGCACAAGGUGGUGGAAGAGGUGGUCGUGGAGGAGUUAGAGGUGGCGGUAGAGGCGGUGGUCGUGGUGGAUUCCGUGGAAGGGGUGCUCCUAGAGGUGGCAGGGGUGGUUUUAGGGGCGGUGGCCGUGGUGGUGGUUUUAGAGGCAGAGGGAGAUUUUAAGUAAUAACAUUUUGUAACAGUACCAAUGCCCAUUUAUUUUAUCCUUUUGCAAUGUCAUGGGCAUUGAACUUCGAAAAUUUGAUUCCGAACUUGAUUGCGACUGUAGCAUGUUCAACACAGAUACGUUCAUCUCGUACUUUUGUCAAUCGAAAGUGCCUAUAACCAAGUUUAUGAUACAUGCUGGUGAUCCAGCUUAUUCCCCUCUCCACGAUAGGUUAUGCUCUAUUGUUCUACUCCGACAUAAGCCAAGCUCUGAGGUUGAAACUUUAUUUUAUUUUUUAAUAAUUUCGUUAUAGAUUUCGAUCAUAUUUGUUUUUUUUAACAUAAUCUAUAGAAUUACUCAUAAUUUUUUUCCAACUCAUAAAUAUGUUUGAAGCGCUUCAUACUAAUCGAUAAAUUGGCAACAAUAUUCAUACUAAUCGAGUUAAGAUUUAAUUGAUAAAUUGAGAUUUGAAUUUUAUCUAAAGAGUAUUUGUUUUUGAAGUUUAGAAAUUUAGCAGCUUGAUUUUUAUGCAUUAAAUUUAAAAUCAAUUAUUUUAUUGUAUUUUUGGUAAAAUUACAUUUUCAGUUCCUUUUAAUUUUGAAAUUGAGUAAACUAGUCUUUUUGAAAAAAUAGGAUAAUUUAAUCUUAUCAGUUUCGAAAGUGAGCAACUAAAGAUAAUUAAUUAUGAAAUUAAUGUUUUUCAUCCAUUGUACAUGAGUUCGAUUGAUAUAAUAACAAUUUAGCUUUCAAAGUUUACAUGUUUUGUCAAUUUGACUUUAAUUUAACAAAUUUAUCUUGCAACAUUUUCUGAAUGUGUACAUAUUGAGGAUGAAUUUGUUGAAUUUUUAAGAAUUAAAGUCAAAAUGACAAAAUAUAUAUGUCGAAACCAUCCCUCGAUUAAAAUUUUUUUUAAUUUUAAUGAAAAAUGGUGAAAUCGACUUUUUGGGAAAUAGAAAUAUGGAGUCUGCCACCGAUCCUUUUGUUUUGGUGUGAUCGGGUCACCUAAUAAUUUGGUUAUUUUAAUAAAACAUUUUCGGUUUACUAAAACACCGAUUAUAGUCUACGAAAGUGUGAGAAAAUGGGCUCAGGAGUCGGUUACGUAUGAGGAAGGGUUAGCACCCUCAUUACGCCCAAAAUUGGUACCAAAUCGAUUAACUAUUGUCCUUAUGUCUAAAACUAAAAAUGUUUUUGAAAUGUGGUUCUUGUUAACAACAUUUGAAUAACCCGAGUUGGUUGCUAAAAAUCUCCUUGUUUCGACGUCCGAAAAUUUAUAAUUUGAAAAUCACAAAAGGAUGCUCAACUAUUUAGUCCAACGAAAAAAUCGAAACCUAGCACAGUAGGGUACGAUUCCUCGAAUUUCCAAACAUUGGCCAUUGCCUUACCUUACAAAAUACGUGUGAAAUUCCGAGGAGAUAUUCGAUUAUUUUGGACAAAUGAAAAAGUGCAACCCAGCACGAUAAGGCACGAUUCUCAAAUCGCCAAACAUUGAACAUCGUCUUUGUUUUUAAGAAUGUUUUCUAAAAGCGAGUGAAAACCUAAAGGAAUAUUCGAUUAUUUUGACUAAACGAAAAAUCACAACCCAGCACGGUAGAGCAUGAUUCCCGAAUCAUCAAACACCGAGUAUUGCCUUCGUUUUAAAGGAUUUUUAGAGGGGCUGAGUGAAAUUUUGAAGGGAUAUUUGAUUAUUUUAAACAAUCGGGGAAUUGCUACCCAACACGUUAGGGCACGAUCCCGCGAAUUGCCAAAUAUCACAUAUCGCCUUCGUUUUAGAGAUUUUAAAAGACACGUGCAAAAUUUUAAAAUGAUAUUCGAUUAUUUUGAACAAAUGCGAAAUUGCAACCCAACACGUUAAGGCACAAUUCCGCGAAUUGCCAAACAUCAAAUCUCAUCUUCAUUUAAGGGAUUUUAAAAGAUAUGAAUGAAAUUUCAAAGGGAAAUUCGAUUAUUUUGAGCGAACGCGAAAUUGCAACCCAACACGUUAGGGCACGAUUACGCGAAUCGCUGAACAUCAAAUUUCGUCUUUGUUUUGAAGAAUUUUUGGAUGAAUACUUAAGAACAUAUUAAGUCGAUUUGAAAUAAGAUGACAUUGAUCGUAGAAAUUGGAUUUUAUAAAACCACAUUUCGAAAAAAAACAAAUGAAAACGAUGAGAUGGGAUAAUAGGCGUAUGCAUAAAAAUAUGACAAUGGAAAAAUGAGGAUAAUAUAAUUUAUCUAAUCAACUACAAGGACUAAGCAUAACUAGCUUGGAAAUAUAACUCAACUUCAAUCAUGCAUGGAGAAUAAUUAGCUUGACAAUAAUGAAUACAUAAAAUGCAACGACAACAUACAUGGCAUAAUAAAAAUUAUUAGAGGCACCAAACAAAAUGCAAACCAAAGAAACAAUAUGGUAUAAAACUAUUUCACAAUAAUGACGAAUAAAUGGACAUAUAAAAUAUAGGUUGAAAAUUUGUAUAAAACUAAGGAUAUAUGUAUAAAACCUUUUUUGAAACUGAUAUUAUAGAAUGAAAGUUUAGGUCAAAUUGCAUGUAAAAUAUUUUAAAUACAAAUACAUUUAAAAGUUGACAAACUACAUGAUGAUUUAAAUAAUGUAACAUAAAAGAAUGAGAAUAAAGAUAUGUGACAAGACUUAAUACAUAAAAUAGAUUUAUGAAACAUGUGUACAUGUAUAAAAAUAGUAUUUAAGUGUGAAAUUUUAAACCAAAACAAUGUGUGGUAAAAUGUAUUCUUAAAAGGGUGACUUAUGUACGUAAAAGAAAGUAUAUAUAUAUAUAUAGAAAAAAAAUUAAGAGAAUUCAUAAAAUAACCUUAGUAUGGGACUAAAUAUGUACAUAGAACUAAAUUAUUAACCAUUUAUGAACAAAUAUACGUGAAACAUUUGAGCAAGUGUUACAUAGAUAUUUUAAAUAAUACAGUAUAAAAAUGGACUAUAAAAUGAUGAUUAAAAAUAUAUGAAAAAGUUAUUGAAAUAGUUCAACAAAUAUAUAAAAAUGUUAAGCACUUUAAAGUACAAAUAUUAUAAAUUGCAAAUUAUGAACCUUGAUUAAAAAAAAUGUACAUGACACAUAUAUAGAAUAUUUAAAGAAAUGUCAUACAAACAGCGAAAUAACAUGAUAAAAAGAACCUUGAACUCGUUACACAAAGAAGACUAUAGGUAUAAAAUCAUGGAUCUAAUAAAGUAUAUAGAUCAAAUAUAUGUACCAAUAUAUAUAUAAGUAUUUAAUCAAAAUGUUAUAUAAAAGUGCUAAAAUAAUUUAACGUGAAAAGAAUUUUAAAAAGAUGAUUUUAUAAACAAAAUAGAGUUUUCAAAAAGAACUCAACACAUAUAUACACGUAUAUGAAAAUAUUAGGAAUUUUAAAAGAAUAAGCAUUACGAGUCAAAAACUCAAUUAAAAUACUACAUGUACAAAUAUAUAUAUUAUCUAAAAGAAUAUUGUACAAGAAUGUUAAAAUAAUCUAAAUAAAAUCUUCAAAAACAAAUGUACAAAUAUAACCAAACAAAAUGAUUAAGAUAGAUCGAUAUAGAGAUAUUAAAUAUGUUUAAAAGGUAAGUUAUACAAAUAGAAAACUAAAAUAAAAAUGAAUUAAAAUAGGAUGAAUAGUUUAUAAAUAAAAAAAAUCGAAAAUUGGGUCAAUAAAUAAUCCGCGCAAGUAUGUAGGGACUAAAGCUGGAAAUAUUCUAGAUGCCCAAAACGCGACACUGUACAGUGGACUAGAGUGCAAACACGCACAAAUUGCAGGGGUAAUAAAGAAAAAUCCUGAAGCAUGAGUGCGAGCUGAUUGAAACGUGGUGCGAAAGGAGAGGGGCCGAUUUUGGAAAUAUACCCUCAUUGCAAAAACACGCGGGUCAUCGGGGCAGCAAACUGGAUCGAGUCGGGCCCGAUUAAACGACGUCGUUUCUGAGCCAUUGAAACGGGCUUAAAACGGCGUCGUAUUUGGUCCUUUAAAAGGACCUAAAGCUGAAUCAUUCGGCCAAACAAACCCUAGCCCCUCUUAUCCCUCUCGUCUGACCUUAGAACUCCCCCUUUAGCGCCGAUCUACGUCUAUCAGCAGAGACGAACAGCCCCGGGCUUCAAAGGAUGACCAUUUCGGUCGUGGGAUCCCUUCUAAACCCCGAUUUCGACGAAAUGAAGGGGAUACGACGGCCAACUCGCAAGGUAAACCUCUCUUUUGCUUUCUUUUUUUGUUUUUGAGAUAGAUUUCAAAAUAAAAAGAAAAUAGAGGCGUAAAAAUGAAAACAGGGAACAACCUUUGCAGAAUAUUCAACUUCUUUGUAUUUGAUUCCUCUUUUUUUUGUGUAAUCUGUUCGUAGUCGUAUUACAAUCGAAAAUCAAAGGCUUUAUAGCCGAAUAACUAAAGAAAACAACAAUUUUUGUCCUCUGCUUUUGUAUUGGCUUGUUGCUGCUUUCGUUUGUUUUCUUUUGCAGGUACGGAGCACGGGGCUGUGCGUUGGCGCUCGGGUACGGGUCUAGGCUAGGGUACGGAGGUGGUACGGUCGUUGCGAGGCUGUUGCGGCGCAAGAGGGUGACCUAGGGUUCCCGAAAGUGUUGAAGUUUUUGGGCUUUUUGGGCUAUUCGGGAUUGGGCUUAUUGGGCUAGGAUAUUAAGUUUGGUUUUUGGGUCAUGUAUUGGGUUUUAUAUAUUUUUUGUAUUUGUUUGUUUUGUGUUUACACGGGCCCAGGCAGAUUUGGCCCAUUACAAUGUAAACAUCAAAAGUUAAAUUUAUUAUUAUACUAAUAAAAAUUAUGUACAAUUGAUAGAGACAUUAACAAAAUAAUUAAUUGUCUGAAAUUGCUC